This 73-nucleotide transfer RNA is filed under the name archaeon. Its description in RNAcentral is "tRNA-Ala". It matches the Rfam family "tRNA". Rfam says of the family: Transfer RNA (tRNA) molecules are approximately 80 nucleotides in length. The record is from RNAcentral. RNAcentral also lists the same sequence under 4 other names.
GGGCCGGUAGAUCAGUUGGAAGAUCACUCCCUUGGCAUGGGAGAGGCCAGGGGUUCAAAUCCCCUCCGGUCCA